RNAcentral lists this ribosomal RNA (2188 nucleotides) under Listeria monocytogenes. Its description in RNAcentral is "partial 23S ribosomal RNA". It matches the Rfam family "Bacterial large subunit ribosomal RNA", at positions 1 to 2181 of the family's 2925-position model. The record is from RNAcentral. Lineage: Bacteria; Bacillati; Bacillota; Bacilli; Caryophanales; Listeriaceae.
GGUUAAGUUAGAAAGGGCGCACGGUGGAUGCCUUGGCACUAGGAGCCGAAGAAGGACGGGACUAACACCGAUAUGCUUUGGGGAGCUGUACGUAAGCGUUGAUCCAGAGAUUUCCGAAUGGGGGAACCCACUAUCUUUAGUCGGAUAGUAUCCUUACGUGAAUACAUAGCGUGAGGAAGGCAGACCCAGGGAACUGAAACAUCUAAGUACCUGGAGGAAGAGAAAGAAAAAUCGAUUUCCUGAGUAGCGGCGAGCGAAACGGAAAGAGCCCAAACCAAGAAGCUUGCUUCUUGGGGUUGUAGGACACUCUAUACGGAGUUACAAAAGAAAGUUAUAAAUGAAGCGGUCUGGAAAGGCCCGCCAAAGACGGUAACAGCCCGGUAGUUGAAAUGGCUUUCCCUCCAGAGUGGAUCCUGAGUACGGCGGAACACGUGAAAUUCCGUCGGAAUCCGGGAGGACCAUCUCCCAAGGCUAAAUACUCCCUAGUGACCGAUAGUGAACCAGUACCGUGAGGGAAAGGUGAAAAGCACCCCGGAAGGGGAGUGAAACAGUUCCUGAAACCGUGUGCCUACAAGUAGUUAGAGCCCGUUAAUGGGUGAUAGCGUGCCUUUUGUAGAAUGAACCGGCGAGUUACGAUUUGUUGCAAGGUUAAGCGGAAAAAGCGGAGCCGUAGCGAAAGCGAGUCUGAAUAGGGCGCAUAAGUAACAGGUCGUAGACCCGAAACCAGGUGAUCUACCCAUGUCCAGGAUGAAGGUAAGGUAAUACUUACUGGAGGUCCGAACCCACGCACGUUGAAAAGUGCGGGGAUGAGGUGUGGGUAGCGGAGAAAUUCCAAUCGAACUUGGAGAUAGCUGGUUCUCUCCGAAAUAGCUUUAGGGCUAGCCUCGAGGUAAAGAGUCAUGGAGGUAGAGCACUGUUUGGACUAGGGGCCCUUCUCGGGUUACCGAAUUCAGAUAAACUCCGAAUGCCAUGUACUUAUACUCGGGAGUCAGACUGCGAGUGAUAAGAUCCGUAGUCGAAAGGGAAACAGCCCAGACCACCAGUUAAGGUCCCCAAAUAUAUGUUAAGUGGAAAAGGAUGUGGGGUUGCUUAGACAACCAGGAUGUUGGCUUAGAAGCAGCCACCAUUGAAAGAGUGCGUAAUAGCUCACUGGUCGAGUGACCCCGCGCCGAAAAUGUACCGGGGCUAAACAUAUUACCGAAACUGUGGAUGAACCUCUUUAGAGGUUCGUGGUAGGAGAGCGUUCUAAGGGCGGUGAAGUCAGACCGGAAGGACUGGUGGAGCGCUUAGAAGUGAGAAUGCCGGUAUGAGUAGCGAAAGAAGGGUGAGAAUCCCUUCCACCGAAUAUCUAAGGUUUCCUGAGGAAGGCUCGUCCGCUCAGGGUUAGUCGGGACCUAAGCCGAGGCCGAUAGGCGUAGGCGAUGGACAACAGGUAGAGAUUCCUGUACCAGUGCUAAUUGUUUAACCGAUGGGGUGACACAGAAGGAUAGGGAAUCGCACGAAUGGAAAUGUGCGUCCAAGCAGUGAGUGUGAGAAGUAGGCAAAUCCGCUUCUCGCGAAGCAUGAGCUGUGAUGGGGAAGGAAAUUAAGUACGGAAGUUCCUGAUUUCACGCUGUCAAGAAAAGCCUCUAGGAAGAGUAGUACUGCCCGUACCGCAAACCGACACAGGUAGAUGAGGAGAGAAUCCUAAGGUGAGCGAGAGAACUCUCGUUAAGGAACUCGGCAAAAUGACCCCGUAACUUCGGGAGAAGGGGUGCUCUAUUAGGGUGCAAGCCCGAGAGAGCCGCAGUGAAUAGGCCCAGGCGACUGUUUAGCAAAAACACAGGUCUCUGCAAAACCGUAAGGUGACGUAUAGGGGCUGACGCCUGCCCGGUGCUGGAAGGUUAAGAGGAGUGCUUAGCUUCGGCGAAGGUACGAAUUGAAGCCCCAGUAAACGGCGGCCGUAACUAUAACGGUCCUAAGGUAGCGAAAUUCCUUGUCGGGUAAGUUCCGACCCGCACGAAAGGCGCAACGAUCUGGGCACUGUCUCAACGAGAGACUCGGUGAAAUUAUAGUACCUGUGAAGAUGCAGGUUACCCGCGACAGGACGGAAAGACCCCGUGGAGCUUUACUGCAACCUGAUAUGGAAUGUUUGUACCGCUUGUACAGGAUAGGUAGGAGCCGAAGAGACGUGUGCGCUAGCAUACGA